AUGGCCAUGGAGGAGCUGCUGCAGAGGCUGCUGGACUCGGCACACAACGCCGAGGACUUGCUGGACGAGCUGGACUACUUCCGCAUCCACGACGAGCUAUAUCAUACAUACGAUGCUGCUGACCAGCACGGCAAGGGUUGUGUCUGCAACCUCGCCCUCAAUGCUCGCCAUACCGCCAAAGCUCUUGCCAAACAGCUGUCAUCCUUGUCUGCGUACUGCUUUGGUGCCAACACUGGUGGUGAUCACCGGCAGGGAGUUGCAAGACAACAUGUCAUUUGUUGUGCUUGGCCGUGUGGCAGGCAGAGACUACCUGUCGAUUCCUCCUCGCCGCCAAACGCCAAUCAGGCUGGUCAGGAGCUCAGUGGAUGCAUGCCAAAGCUCGGUAAAAUCCUCCCUUGCGCAUCUUCCCCGCAUCCACAUGUUCAUGGUGAUGAAGUUGGUGCCAGUGUGCAAGAAACACCAAUGCAUGAGUUUAAUAGGGUCGAUUUCUCCCAAAGGAUGAAGGACACUGUAGAGCAACUAAAGCUUAUGCGCAACGAGGUUACCAAGAUUCUGCAAGGUUGUGACCCUAGAACCAUCCCAGACAUUGCCCAGAGCCGUCCCAUCACCAAAGGUCGAAUUGAUGAGCCAAAACUGUACGGGAGGGAGACUGUCAUGAAUAGCAUCAUACAUGAUAUCACCAAGGGUCAAUACACCAAGGGUCUAACUGUGCUUCCGGUUGUUGGUCCUGGGGGAAUGGGAAAGACAACUCUGAUACAACACAUAUAUCGCAACCAACAGGUGCAGAAUCAUUUUCCAGUCAGGAUUUGGAUGUGUGUGUCAUUCAAUUUCAAUCUGGAUAAGGUGCUAGAACAGAUUGAAGUAGGUACUCGUCCAGUUGAAAGUGAAAAGGAGGGCAGUACAACUGAAAAGUUGAUUGAAGAAAGAUUGAAAUCUAAAAGGUUCUUACUUGUAUUGGAUGAUAUAUGGCAGAUUAGUGAUGUGGGUGACUGGGAAAAACUCCUGUCGAUACUCAACCAAUCACAAGAAAAGGGUUCCAUGGUUCUAGUCACAACUCGGUUUCGAGCAAUAGCACAGGUGGUUAAAACAACUGGCCAUUCAAUAGAACUGGAUGGUUUAAAUUCUGGAGAGUUUAGAAAGUUGUUUCUCACAUUUGUCUUUGGCGAUGAGCAAUGUCCAAGGGACAAACAUUUUCUGCUUGAGACCGGAGAUAAGAUAAUGGAAAAACUAAAGGGCUCCCCUCUUGCAGCAAGGACUGUUGGCAGAUUACUGAGUAAAGAACAUAGUUUGGGGCAUUGGAAAAGGGUCCUAAACAGUAAAGAAUGGGAAAAGCAAACCAAUGGAAUUAUGUCUGCCUUGAGGCUUAGCUAUGACUUUCUCCCUUUCCAUCUGCAACAAUGUUUUUCCUAUUCUGCAUUGGUUCCUGAAGAUGUAUAUCUCAGAAGCUAUGAUCUCAUCAGCCUGUGGAUCGGACUAGAUAUUUUGAUACCUAGUGAUCAAAAUCAAACAUCUGAAGAUAUAGGUUUGAGCAAUUUAAAUGAGUUAGUCAAUUAUGGAUUUUUCAGGGAAGAUAUAGGUCAGCGGUAUGUUAUGCAUGACCUACUACACGAUUUGGCAUUGAAGGUUGCAUCGCAUGAUUGUCUUUGUUUACGUCUCCCUAAUGUUGGAUCAGUGGUAAUUCAGCCAACCACCCGUCACUUGUCUAUAAGCACACAUGACUUAGGCAAAUAUGAUGCAGUGUCAGGUGAAAAAUUAAGAAGUGAAUUGGAAGAACUGAAGACAAAAUUGAAGGUUGAACAUUUGCACACAUUGGUGUUAUUGGGUAAAAUGGAUGGAAGUUUUGCCAAGAUAUUUGGUGAUUUUUUUUUGGAAGCAAAUGCUCUUCGUGUUCUUUAUUUGUUUGACAUGAUGUAUCCCAUGGAGUUCAUGUUACAUAACUUUUCAAGACUUGUCCACCUACGAUUCCUAUGUCUAGGGACAUGUGACAGAGAGAUGCAUUUACCACUCAACAUCUCUAAAUUUUAUCAUUUAAGGGUUCUAGAUCUUGAGCAAUGGUGUGGGAGUUCUGAUUUGCCCAGAGCCAUGAGCAAUCUUGCAAAACUGUGCCAUAUUCAUGCCAGAAGUGAGCUUCAUUCAGAUAUUUAUAAUGUGGGAAAACUUAAACUCUCACAAGAGUUGAAGGUAUUUCGAGUCAAUAAAAAAAGUGAAGGAUUUGAAGCAAAGCAACUAGAGCAUUUAAGCAAGCUCAGGGAGCUUGGCAUCUACAACCUUGAGAAAAUACACACAGAAGAAGAAGCAGCUCAAGCAAAACUUAUAGAGAAAAACUACCUGAGGAGGUUAACAUUGGACUGGGAUAGUGAACGAUCUAGUGUUGAGCCUGGUGUGGAAGCAGCGGUUCUUGAGAGCCUUCAGCCACAUGGAGAUCUUCAGGUGUUGUGCAUUAGAGGGCACGGAGGUCCUUCUUGUCCAACAUGGUUAGGUGAUGAGUUCGCUGUUGAAGUUCUGCAAUCUCUUUAUCUGGAUGGUGUUUCUUGGGAAGUUUUCCCUUCUUUAGGGAAGGCGUGGGAUCUUCAUGAAAUAAGGUUGGAGAAUAUUGCCAGACCGAAGGAGUUUAUUAUAGAGGAAUGCUUUUGCAGGCUAAUAAAGCUUAAACUCAUUGGCCUAGGAAGUUUUGAAAAAUGGCUUUACCCAGCUGAACAAGAGUCUUCCCUGGGUGAACCAGAUGCUUAUGUUCCCUCUUUUGCAAGUUCUGGUUAUUAG
This 2760-nucleotide ribosomal RNA is filed under the name Triticum aestivum (bread wheat). RNAcentral's name for it is "partial small subunit ribosomal RNA". Lineage: Eukaryota; Viridiplantae; Streptophyta; Magnoliopsida; Poales; Poaceae. The record is from RNAcentral.